GCUCCUUUGACGUUAUUCGGAGAAAAGGGUGAGUAACACGUGGAUAACCUACCUAUAAGACUGGGAUAACUUCGGGAAACCGGAGCUAAUACCGGAUAACAUAUUGAACCGCAUGGUUCAAUAGUGAAAGGCGGCUUUGCUGUCACUUAUAGAUGGAUCCGCGCCGUAUUAGCUAGUUGGUAAGGUAACGGCUUACCAAGGCAACGAUACGUAGCCGACCUGAGAGGGUGAUCGGCCACACUGGAACUGAGACACGGUCCAGACUCCUACGGGAGGCAGCAGUAGGGAAUCUUCCGCAAUGGGCGAAAGCCUGACGGAGCAACGCCGCGUGAGUGAUGAAGGUCUUCGGAUCGUAAAACUCUGUUAUCAGGGA
RNAcentral lists this ribosomal RNA (373 nucleotides) under uncultured Staphylococcus sp. Its description in RNAcentral is "bacterial SSU rRNA". It matches the Rfam family "Bacterial small subunit ribosomal RNA", at positions 78 to 445 of the family's 1533-position model. Lineage: Bacteria; Bacillati; Bacillota; Bacilli; Caryophanales; Staphylococcaceae. The record is from RNAcentral.